Molecule: ribosomal RNA, 437 nt
Filed under: uncultured bacterium
Lineage: Bacteria
Description: bacterial SSU rRNA
Rfam family: Bacterial small subunit ribosomal RNA
Source: RNAcentral
UCAAGAAACUUCCACAAUGGGCGAAAGCCUGAUGGAGCGACGUCGCGUGAUGGACGAAGUGCUUCGGCACGUAAACAUCUUUUAUGUGGGAUGAAAUUAUUGACAGUACCACAUGAAUAAGGGGCUCCUAACUCUGUGCCAGCAGGAGCGGUAAUACAGAGGCCCCAAGCGUUAUCCGGAAUCACUGGGCGUAAAGGGUGUCGAGGCGGUUGUAUUAGUCGUUCGUAAAAUCUACGAGCUUAACUUGUAGGCGGCGAACGAAACGGUACGACUUGAGGUUUGGAGAGGUGCGUGGAACUCACGGUGUAGGGGUGAAAUCCGUUGAUAUCGUGGGGAACACCAAAGGCGAAGGCAGCGCACUGGCCAAAAUCUGACGCUCACACACGAAAGCUAGGGUAGCGAAGAGGAUUAGAUACCCUGGUAGUCCCUGAGCGGGC